This 73-nucleotide transfer RNA is filed under the name Haemonchus placei. It matches the Rfam family "tRNA". From Rfam's summary of the family: Transfer RNA (tRNA) molecules are approximately 80 nucleotides in length. Their secondary structure includes four short double-helical elements and three loops (D, anti-codon, and T loops). Further hydrogen bonds mediate the characteristic L-shaped molecular structure. tRNAs have two regions of fundamental functional importance: the anti-codon, which is responsible for specific mRNA codon recognition, and the 3' end, to which the tRNAs corresponding amino acid is attached (by aminoacyl-tRNA synthetases). tRNAs cope with the degeneracy of the genetic code in two manners: having more than one tRNA (with a specific anti-codon) for a particular amino acid; and 'wobble' base-pairing, i.e. permitting non-standard base-pairing at the 3rd anti-codon position. The record is from Rfam by way of RNAcentral. Lineage: Eukaryota; Metazoa; Nematoda; Chromadorea; Rhabditida; Trichostrongylidae.
GUCUCGGUAGUGUAAGGUAUAAGAGCACUGUACCUGGAAAGGACAAGUAUGGGUUCGAGUCCCGUCCGAGACU